AGCCUGAUGCAGCAACGCCGCGUGAGGGAUGAAGGCCUUCGGGUUGUAAACCGCUUUCACCUGGGAAGAAGCGAAAGUGACGGUACCUGGAGAAGAAGCACCGGCUAACUACGUGCCAGCAGCCGCGGUGAUACGUAGGGUGCCAGCGUUGUCCGGAAUUAUUGGGCGUAAAGAGCUUGUAGGCGGUUUGUUGCGUCUGAAGUGAAAAUUCAGGGCUUAACCCUGAACCUGCUUUCGAUACGGGCAGACUUGAGGAAUGUAGGGGAGAAUGGAAUUCCUGGUGGAGCGGUGAAAUGCGCAGAUAUCAGGAGGAACACCGGUGGCGAAGGCGGAUCUCUGGGCAUUUCCUGACGCUGAGAAGCGAAAGCGUGGGGAGCAAACAGGAUUAGAUACCCUGGUAGUCCAUGCCGUAAACGGUGGGUACUAGGUGUGGGGGACAUUCCACGAUUUCCGUGCCGCAGCUAACGCAUUAAGUACCCCGCCUGGGGAGUACGGCCGCAAGGCUAAAACUCAAA
This 515-nucleotide ribosomal RNA is filed under the name uncultured bacterium. RNAcentral's name for it is "bacterial SSU rRNA". It matches the Rfam family "Bacterial small subunit ribosomal RNA", at positions 380 to 905 of the family's 1533-position model. The record is from RNAcentral.